This 504-nucleotide long non-coding RNA is filed under the name Phoenix dactylifera (date palm). RNAcentral describes it as "long non-coding RNA (PDAC_LNC010685)". Lineage: Eukaryota; Viridiplantae; Streptophyta; Magnoliopsida; Arecales; Arecaceae. The record is from RNAcentral.
GAGUGAACCAACAUGAGCAAGUCAUAUUAGAUUAAUUGAUCUAAUUGGUGUCUAGGAAAGCAUGAAAAGUAGUUACUUAAUUAGGACCUUACUCUCUGAGUAAGGAGAGCCUCCCACCUGCUUACCUGGCCAAUUGUUCGAUUACCUCUUAUGAAGAGCUCAAGUUGCAAACACUAAGACAUGAUUAACCAAUAUUAAGUCCAUAGGUCUUCCACCGUAGUAGAGCUGCUAAGGUCUUUCUGGUGUUGACUUGUCUCGACUGGACACAGUGGGCAAGUUGCAUCGGGGGGCUGGACCUCUCUAUAGACAUGUGAUGUUGUAGGGAUAAAGAUGGGGUUGGGCACCAAUAACUGUUAGGUGAGGACCCAAUGAUGACUUUAUUUCUACGGUUAUACGGUGAAUCUGACUUAACUAAGGAAUAAGACCAAUAACUGUUAGGUGAGGUCUUCAUGACUUAAAGACCAAGUAGCACUGCAACAUGCUUGAGAAGUAUUGUACAAGAGU